This 526-nucleotide long non-coding RNA is filed under the name Pongo abelii (Sumatran orangutan). RNAcentral's name for it is "lincRNA". Lineage: Eukaryota; Metazoa; Chordata; Mammalia; Primates; Hominidae. The record is from RNAcentral.
AUUGUAUGUCUUACUUAUUUACUCAUUUGACAUUUUAGUUAGACACUAGCAGUAUUGUUUUCUUUGAAUACAUUUAAAGGUCCUAGAUGUAUUUCUUUUUGAUGUUCAUCUUCUAACUCAUUCCCUCCUAUCAAUCUCAGACUGCUGUAAACAAAUGAUUUUUUUGCCCAUUUUUUUUUUACUGUUAGUUAUCAUAUUUAUUUUUCUUAAACAAGCUGUACUGGUUAUACAGUCUGAAUUUGGAGAAUAGACGUCUUCAUUCAGGAGGGGAAAUUGAGCCAAGUUUGAAUAUAAUCAUUGGGUAACAAAUCCAGAAGAUUAAGUUACUAAGGAGAACAUGCAAAGUAAACACUUGCAUUUUAUGAACUACCUUCAAUUUAAAUAGAGAACUGGGUAACUGUAUAUGACAUGUUUUGGGAGCAAGACCUGUUAAACCUACCUACUUCCUACUGUUUUCAUUUGAAAAAUAAAUCAAUUAUUAAACAGUUAUUCUACACAUUUAAAGACUGUAAGUGAUUUAACCUUG